RNAcentral lists this long non-coding RNA (209 nucleotides) under Hordeum vulgare. Its description in RNAcentral is "long non-coding RNA (HVUL_LNC006836)". Lineage: Eukaryota; Viridiplantae; Streptophyta; Magnoliopsida; Poales; Poaceae. The record is from RNAcentral.
AGGGUGGUGGAAGUUGAUGAGGUUAGUCAAACGUCACUUCAACCAGUGUGUAGCAGGGCGCAGGAAGAUGUUCCUGUGGCGCCUACACCAAUUGAAGUGGAAGCUGAUGAUGGUGAUCAUUAGAGCUUCAGAUCAAGUUACUACAAACCUCGUAGGUCCAAAGAGGUCGGGUACUACUACAGAGUGGUACGGUAACCCUGUCUUGGAGG